GAGGGUAUAGCUCAGUGGUAGAGUGUGUGCUUAGCACACAUGAGGUCCAGGGUCCUGGGUUCAAUCCCCAGUAACUCCA
This 79-nucleotide transfer RNA is filed under the name Vicugna pacos (alpaca). It matches the Rfam family "tRNA". From Rfam's summary of the family: Transfer RNA (tRNA) molecules are approximately 80 nucleotides in length. Lineage: Eukaryota; Metazoa; Chordata; Mammalia; Artiodactyla; Camelidae. The record is from Rfam by way of RNAcentral. RNAcentral also lists the same sequence under 1 other name.